AACCCACUGCACUGAAGCAUCUCAAUAAGUGGAGGAAAAUAAACUAACUAGGAUACUCUUAGUAAGUGCGACCGAAGAGAGUAAAGCUCAAUAAUCUAAACUUUAAAUUUUUAUAAUUUAAAGUCAUGUGAUUUUCUAAACUCAUUGAAAUUUUUAUAAAUUAUGAUUGAAUUCAUAACUAUAAAGAGUUAUAGUCUCGUUAUUUAAAAUUUCAAGCAUGGGAAUUAGAAUUAAAGAGUCGGGUAGCUUGAGAAUGCUGCCUUAAUAUAGGUGGUACACCCCAUCUAAAGCUAAAUAUUGUAAAGAGACCGAUAGCAUACAAGUAGUGUGAACGAAAGAUGAAAAGAACUCCUAAACGGAGAAUUAAAAGCGCCUGAACUUGUCUAGGUUUUCGCAUUUCUUUAAUGCGCCCGUCUUGAAACACGGAUUAGGGAGUUUUACUUAAAUACGAGUCUUUAACUUUUAAAGUAAUUUUUUUAAAAAAGGCGAAAAGAAAUUAACUGGUUUUUUUAACAUGGCUAUAGAGUAUUUAAGUCAAAACCCGAAUGGAGGUGAACUAUUCCUGCAAAGAUUGAAGUCAGGGGAAACUCUGAUGGAAGAUCGUUGGCGUUAUUGAUGUGCAAAUCAUUUGCUUUAUGUAGGUAUAGGUGCGAAAGACUCAUCGAACCUCCUAAUAGCUGGUUUCCUCCGAAGUUUCCCUCAGGAUAGCUGUAACAUUUUUAAAUAGUUAAGGAUAGUAGAGAAAUGGGUAGAGGUGUAGUGGAACUACGGUUCUGCAACUUAUUUCCAAACUUCGAACGUUCUUGAUAUAAAAAAUUACCUAAUAGGAAUUUUUUAUUUAAAUAUAUGUUAUAAGUGGGCUCUGACCGGUAAGCGGUCAUGGCGAAAAGGGAUGAACCUAACGUAUAAAUAAGGUGCCUAAAUUUACUAACAAUGAAACCAUUAAAAGAGUCCAUGUAUUUAGACAGCGGGUCGGUGCCCCUAAAAGCAGGUAUCCGUUAAUGAGUGUGUUAAAACUCCCCCGCCGAAUACUCUGGCCUUGAAAAUGAAUGGCGCAUAUAGUAAUACCGAUAUUAUACAUUAAAAUUAUUUAAAAAUUUUAAAAGUAGGGGGAUGUGGAUAUCUUAGAGAAUUUUUAAUUGUAAAAUUGAAUUGAAAGAUAUCUAUUACAGAUCCUAAUUGAAGUAGCGAUUAUCCAGGUUAAUCUCCUGGGGGCUGAUGAGGAGUAGGGUUUCUGGGCAACUUAAACGGACCCAGAGUUAGUCGAUCCUAAUCAAAUUAAAUUUAGAGAAAGGGAAUAUGAAUGAUAUUUCAUAACUAAAAUUAAUUUUUAAAUGGUGACAUUUUUUUAAACUUAUUUCCAUCAAUUAAAUACUGUUUAAUAGGGAUUUCUUUCCUAUAUAACUUUUUAAUUAAAACUUAAGAAACAGGUUAACUGGAGAAUAAAGUUUUAAUUUAGUAAAAUUAUAAUUUCGAUUAUAAUAACGGCUAUUUAAAUGAUCCAUGAAACAAUAAGUUUAUUUUUUCAAAAAUUAAUUUAAUCGUACCGAUAACCGCAUCAGGUCUCCAAGGUGAGUAGCUUCUGGCCAUUGAGUAAUGGUAAUUUAGGGAAUUCGGCCAAUUAGAGCUGUAACUUCGGGAUAAAGCUUGGCUCUGAUGGAAAUCAGAACCGAUAGUUACAAGGAGAGCCCAACUGUUUAAUAAAAACUUAGUGUCGCGUCAUACCUUUAUAAGUAAUAAACGUGACAUGAAUCCUGCUCAGUGCUGUGUUUGUUAAACUGGAUUAAUCCAUUUAAGCGCCGGUAAAUAGCUGGGGUAACUAUGACUCUUAUCAAAGUAGCGAAAUACCUCGUCACUUAAUUAGUGACCUGCAUGAACGGAGCUAUGAGGUUCUCACUGUCCCAAAUUAUCACUCAGCGAACCAACAGUUGUGGGAACGGGCACAAAUUAUCCAGCGGGGAAAGAAGACCCUGUAGAGCUUCACUUUGGUCUAAUCUUGUAUAGUUUCGUUAGGGGUGCAGUCUAGGUGGGAGAUUUUUAAUCAAAUAUGAGAAACCACUACCCUUUCUGGAAUUAUACUUACUAAAAUUCUUUUCUAAAUUUUAGGAUCGGAUUAGAUAGAAAGUUUGGCUGGGGCGGCACACCUUCGAAAAAGCAGCGAAGGUGUCCUAAGUUAAGCUCAGUAAGGACAGAAAUCUUACGUUGAGGAUAAGGCCAAAAGCUUAAUUUACUGUGCCUUUUUGUACUAGGAUCAGUUUG
Molecule: ribosomal RNA, 2259 nt
Filed under: human gut metagenome
Description: eukaryotic LSU rRNA
Rfam family: Eukaryotic large subunit ribosomal RNA
Source: RNAcentral